UUCUGGUCAACGCUUUGAUAAAAAUCAAAUUCUCUUAUAUCAAUCAAUCAUCUAAUAAGCUCAACAUUCCAACACUCUAUGACCAAUAAGUUUGACUCAAGUCAAUCCUCUAAUUGAAGCAUCUACAACAAUUUGACGUGAAUUCUUUGAUGCAAACUUCCUUUGAUCAUAUUAACUCAGUGGACAAGAUAUUUUCUGAAGAAGUUAUAAAGCACGAAAAAAUGACAAAAUAAUCUUUUUCGAUAUUCACGCCAGAUGUCCUAAUAGUACCAUAAGUACAAGAUUUGUGCGCCAUUCCCUAAAACAGUAGAAAAUUAACGGCAUCAAUUCAGUAUUGUAAAUGACGCAUAUAACCCAUAAGAUUGUGUUGAACGAAGAUAAGCCAAAGAAAAAAUAAUCAAAAUUUCUUGCCUUAAAGUCCAAGGGAAAAAUGAUGCUUCUAAGGCUCUACAAAUCGAACAACUAGAGGAAAGUGAGUCUAAUUAGAGUAUAGAUUAGAAGAUGAUGAGAUUUUCUUUCUCUCUAAGAGAGUUAAAUGUCCGAGAACCUUUUCCCUAGAAGGAUUUAAAAAACUCCAGAGAUACUAGAAACAAAAAGGAGAAAUUAGAAAAGAAGCAGAUCAUCUAUUACAAGUAAAAAGUGUAGGGAGGUAGUAUUCCAAUUUUGUUCGGCCAAUAAAAAAGUAAGUAAUAAUAUGUUUAAUUCUAAUAUUUUGCAUUUAUUGUUAUAAAAUAAAAUAAAAAUCAUCAUUUCAUAAAGUAGGCCUAAUUUUGAGUCUAUAUUACAUAAGUAUUAAAUUUACAAUUGGCCUAAAAAUAAUAAAACAAAAAUAUAAUAAAAUAAUUAACAUCAGUGUGUGCCCCGAACCUCAUUCUUUUCGGCUUUCUAUUUUUCUUCCUUUUUAGUAAUAAGGCUAUAAUCUUCACAAUUCCAUAAUUUCUGCAAAACAAUAGAAAACCAUAACUCAAUUUAUCUCAUGUUUACAAAGAUUCAUCUUUGUCGCCUAUAAAUUGAGAACCAAAAAUACAAUAAAGAGGGAGGGGACUUCUUUAAAAGAUAAAACCAAAAAAAGGCAACGCAAAGAAAAUAUAUAAAAAAUAAGAGUUGAGAAAUGAAGAAUCAGUAAGAAACACAUUUCCAUCUUCUAGCCUUCAACAACACCAAUUAUAGAAACCACCAUUUUUCUACUACCAUCAAAGAAACAACAAAAAAUAUAAAGAGAAAAAUAUUUGAGAGAUGAAAAAGAAUCAUAGAAGAAGAAGAAAGAAGAAAAGGGAGGAACAUUACUUGUGUUGGUACAAGACCGUUGCUUUCGUUUCCAGACCUCAUGCCACCACCACCUCAAUUUCUGAUCAUUCGUGUGCACCUUCGUUAGCCAACCACCACGACCCCUCUACGAGCAACUCCGGUGCAAACCACCACUGUACACGAAGUCCUUCGUCAUCACUUUCCCCAUCUCACAUUUGUACUCUUUCUCUCUAACCUUGUCUUUAUUUAUUUAUUUAUUUAUUUUUUCACCUGAACUUUUCCUCUCAGAAAGUGCCACACUACUUCAUCUUCG
This 1561-nucleotide long non-coding RNA is filed under the name Cicer arietinum (chickpea). RNAcentral's name for it is "long non-coding RNA (CARI_LNC002027)". The record is from RNAcentral. Lineage: Eukaryota; Viridiplantae; Streptophyta; Magnoliopsida; Fabales; Fabaceae.